GAUGAACGCUGGCGGCGUGCCUAAUACAUGCAAGUCGAGCGAACGGACGAGAAGCUUGCUUCUCUGAUGUUAGCGGCGGACGGGAGAGUAACACGUGGAUAACCUACCUAUAAGACUGGGAUAACUUCGGGAAACCGGAGCUAAUACCGGAUAAUAUUUUGAACCGCACGGUUCAAAAGUGAAAGACGGUCUUGCUGUCACUUACACAUGGAUCCGCGCUGCAUUAGCUAGUUGGUAAGGUAACGGCUUACCAAGGCAACGAUGCAUAGCCGACCUGAGAGGGUGAUCGGCCACACUGGAACUGAGACACGGUCCAGACUCCUACGGGAGGCAGCAGUAGGGAAUCUUCCGCGAUGCGCGAAAGCCUGACGUAGCAACGCCGCGUGAGUGAUGAAGGUCUUCGGAUCGUAGAACUCUGUUAUUAGGGAAGAACAUAUGUGUAAGUAACUGUGCACAUCUUGACGGUACCUAACCAGAAAGCCCCGGCUAACUACGUG
This 497-nucleotide ribosomal RNA is filed under the name uncultured bacterium. RNAcentral describes it as "partial 16S ribosomal RNA". It matches the Rfam family "Bacterial small subunit ribosomal RNA", at positions 28 to 507 of the family's 1533-position model. The record is from RNAcentral.